AUUGAACGCUGGCGGAAUGCUAUACACAUGCAAGUCGAACGGCAGCACGGACUUCGGUCUGGUGGCGAGUGGCGAACGGGUGAGUAAUACAUCGGAACGUGCCCAGUCGUGGGGGACAACGUAGCGAAAGCUACGCUAAUACCGCAUACGAUCUACGGAUGAAAGCGGGGGAUCGCAAGACCUCGCGCGACUUGAGCGGCCGAUGGCAGAUUAGGUAGGUGGUGGGGUAAAGGCUCACCAAGCCGACGAUCUGUAGCUGGUCUGUGAGGACGACCAGCCACACUGGUACUGAGACACGGCCCAGACUCCUACGGGAGGCAGCGGUGGGGAAUUUUGGACAAUGGGCGCAAGCCUGAUCCAGCCAUUCCGCGUGCAGGAUGAAGGCCCUCGGGUUGUAAACUGCUUUUGUACGGAACGAAAAGGCCCUGGUUAAUACCUGGGGCUCAUGACGGUACCGUAAGAAUAAGCACCGGCUAACUGCGUGCCAGCCGCCGCCGUAA
RNAcentral lists this ribosomal RNA (500 nucleotides) under uncultured bacterium. RNAcentral's name for it is "partial 16S ribosomal RNA". It matches the Rfam family "Bacterial small subunit ribosomal RNA", at positions 30 to 523 of the family's 1533-position model. The record is from RNAcentral.